AGGCCGGAGUGGGCGGGACGCCGCCGCGCCUGCGCAUUGACGGCUCCGCCCUGCCAUCGAAGCCCCGCCCUGCGCUCCUAACAGGUCCCGCCCCUCUCGUCAUUCCCGCCCUCCAGGCCCCGCCCCGCCGUCCAAGCCCCGCCCCGACUGGCAUCGGAGGGUCAAUCGCCGCUCCCUCGUCCUGCGUUCCCUGAGGGCCUCCGGCGUCCAGGCUGUCGGGCGCCUCCCUUCAGGGCACAGACCCCUGGCAAAGCCCACAUGUACCCUCGGAGAAUGCUUGGAGGAAAACAUGGCAUGUGCUGGUUUCAGUGUUGUGGGGCCCUUCCCCCAGCAUCAGCCUCCUCUUCCAGCGAGGACGCUGGUCUGCAGAUUGGUUUCACCUGGAUGGUGGGUGAGAGGCCGACUGUACCUCGUGACGAUCAAGCUCUUCUCAGGUUCUGUUAAUGCACUGCUCGAGGCAACGUUUUGAGACCCAUCAGCUCCUAUUAGGUUUGUGUCCCCCAGAAUUCGUAUGCAGAAACUGUAACCCCCAAUAUGGCCAUAUUUGGAGAUGGGACUUCUGAAGAAGUAAUUAAGGUUAAAGUCAGUCACAAGGGUGGGGUCCUGAUCCGACAAGACAUGCGUCCGUAAAAUAAGAGACACCAGAGAGCUCCCUCUCCCAGUCAGUCAUGUCGGCACACGUGAGAAGGCAGUGUUGGCAACCCAAGGGAAGAGUCCUGGACAGGCACCAGACAACACCAGCACCUUAAUCUUGGACUACCAAUCUCCAGAAAUAACAGACAUUUUUGUUAGGCCCGCCAGUCUGUGAUAUUGUGAUAACAACCUGAUAUGGUUUGGAUUUGUGUCCCCGCCCAAAUCUUAUGUUGAAUUGUAAUCCCCAAUAUUGGGGGAGGGGCCUGGUGGGAGGUGACUGGCUCAAGGGGGCAGAUUUCCCCCUUGCUGUUCUUGUGAAAAUGAGUGAGCUCUCAGGAGACCUGCUUGUUUAAAAGUGUGGCACCUUUCCCCUUUGCUCCCUUUCUCUCCUGGUCCACCAUGGUAAAAUGUGCUUGCUUCCCUUCUGCCUUCUGCCAUGAUGUAAGUUUCCUGAGGCCUCCACGCCAUGCUUCCUGUACAGCCUGCAGAACUGUGAGUCAAUUAAACCUCAUUUCUUUAUAAA
Molecule: long non-coding RNA, 1156 nt
Organism: Chlorocebus sabaeus (green monkey)
Lineage: Eukaryota; Metazoa; Chordata; Mammalia; Primates; Cercopithecidae
Source: RefSeq, a predicted model, not a curated record